UUGCCAUCGGGCGAGCCGGGCACUCUGGAGGGACUGCCGGGCGACAAGCCGGAGGAAGGUGGGGAUGACGUCAAGUCAUCAUGGCCCUUAUGUCCAGGGCGACACACGUGCUACAAUGGCCGGCACAGCGGGAAGCGGAGGGGCGACCCUGAGCGGAUCCCUUGAAAGCCGGUCCCAGUUCGGAUUGCAGUCUGCAACUCGACUGCAUGAAGUUGGAAUCGCUAGUAAUCGCGGAUCAGCCAAGCCCGCGGUGAAUACGUUCCCGGGCCUU
This 271-nucleotide ribosomal RNA is filed under the name uncultured Thermovirga sp. RNAcentral describes it as "partial 16S ribosomal RNA". It matches the Rfam family "Bacterial small subunit ribosomal RNA", at positions 1115 to 1382 of the family's 1533-position model. Lineage: Bacteria; Thermotogati; Synergistota; Synergistia; Synergistales; Thermovirgaceae. The record is from RNAcentral.